Molecule: ribosomal RNA, 419 nt
Filed under: uncultured bacterium
Lineage: Bacteria
Description: bacterial SSU rRNA
Rfam family: Bacterial small subunit ribosomal RNA
Source: RNAcentral
GGAAUAUUGGUCAAUGGGCGGAAGCCUGAACCAGCCAUGCCGCGUGCAGGAAUAAGGCCCUACGGGUCGUAAACUGCUUUUGUACGGGAGCAAUAAGGGCCACGCGUGGUCCGAUGAGAGUACCGUACGAAUAAGCAUCGGCUAACUCCGUGCCAGCAGCCGCGGUAAUACGGAGGAUGCGAGCGUUAUCCGGAUUCAUUGGGUUUAAAGGGUGCGUAGGCGGCGUGCCAAGUCAGGGGUGAAAGGUUCCGGCUCAACUGGGACAGUGCCUUUGAUACUGGUGUGCUGGAGUGCGCUUGCCGUGGGAGGAAUGAGUGGUGUAGCGGUGAAAUGCUUAGAUAUCACUCAGAACACCGAUUGCGAAGGCAUCUCACGAAGGCGUAACUGACGCUGAGGCACGAAAGCGUGGGGAUCAAACA